Oryctolagus cuniculus (rabbit) is the source of this 4722-nucleotide non-coding RNA. The record is from RefSeq and is a predicted model, not a curated record. NCBI's taxonomy places the organism in Eukaryota, Metazoa, Chordata, Mammalia, Lagomorpha, Leporidae.
ACAGCCCCUAAGCUUCCCAAUAAACAUGAGCAGUAGUGUAGUCCUAACUCAUUUCUGGUUCGGGAUAAGGAUGGACUAAAACAGAUUAAUCUUCAUGGAUCAACAUUCAAUGAUGAUCCAAGGACACUGCUGGCUUCAACAUGAACCUCGAGUGAGAAGGCUCGCAGCUGGGGUGGUAGCCUUCUUCUUGUGAGAGAGAUCCUAAAGGAAAAGAAGAAAAAGGCUUAAAGAGUCCCCAGUAGUCCACAUUUGCCACCAUCUUGAAACUCCCUGUGAAGAAAAGGCUCCAGCCAGGAUUUGGACUCUUCCAUAGAUGGGACAGAGCAGAUCACCAACAGAGCAGCAGUGAGCCCACACCAAGCCUUGCUUCACCUGUCCAUGGAACCUGUGGUUGGCACCCACCAGGGAAAGGCAACGGAAUGAAGGGGAAAGAGCACUGAAUCUGAGCUUCAGUCCUGCCUCUGGCACAUGCGCAUGUCCAAAAUUACCUGGGUCAGUGUCUCACAAGGGAUAUAUGGGAACCAAAUCAGAUGACACGUUUUGUAACCAAAGGAUCAAGUUCAAAUUCCUUACAUUCGCAUUUUUAACUCACUUUGUAAUAUAACCUUCCUUUCCAACCUUUAUAUACACUUAGGUUUUAAGCUGUAACAAAUCUACUUUUUAUAAAUGUGCUGCAUGAAUGAUGUACUUUGGAGUCUUGUGCAUGCUAUUCCUUUCGGUUAUGUUUUUGCCUCAGUCCAUUUGUCUACCGCUUAUUUCCUGGACACUCAGCUUUAAGACUUCAUCUCCAUAAAGUACUUGUACAUGCCUCUCUUACAGCACUUUACAUGGUGUACUAUAUCUUGUCCAUUUUUAUUUUUUACCUGUCUUCCUGGCUAGAAGGCAUUCUUACUACAUAAGAAUCUUAAAGAAAGACAUGGCUAUUGAAGGCAUUUAACAAAGCCUUGGGAAUACAUUUCACGUUGUUGCAGAUGGCCUCUAAUUAAUAAAUAUCUAUGAGAAAAUUAUUUGUGAAAGAAAGAUGACAGGGUAUACAAACACUUCUGGUUAAAUGGAGAGUUUGUGUUAGAAUUUAAAAGAAUAUUUACUGGAGUCAGAGCUGUGGCUUAGUGGGUAAAUCUGCUGCCUGCAGAGCCUAGCAUCCCAUAUGAGCAUGGGUAUGAGUCCUGGUUGCUCUACUUCUGAUCCAGCUCUCUGCUAAUGGCCUGGAAAAGCAGUGGAGGAUGGCCCAAUUCCUUGGGCCCCUGCACACGUGUGUGGAAGAUCCGGAAGAAGCUCCUAGCUCCUGGCUUUGGAUCAGCGCAGCUCUGGCCAUUGCAGCCAUUUGGGGAGUAAACCAGAGGAUGGAAGAUUUCUUGCACUCUCUCUCUCUCUCUCUCUCUCUCUCUCUCUCUCUGUAACUCUGCCUUUCAAAUAAAUAAAUAAAUCUUUGAAAAAAGAAAAAAAAAAAGGAAUAUUUACUGGGGCCAGAGCUGUGGCACAGUGUGUAAAGCCACUGCCCGUGGCACCAGCAUCCCAUGUGGGUGCCAGUUGGUAUCCAGCUUCUCUUCUGAUGCAACUCUCUGCUUUGGUCUAGGAAAGCAGUGGAAGAUGGCCCCAGUACUUGGGCCCCUGUACCCACGUGAGAGACCUGGAGAAAGCUCCUGGCUCCUAGCUUCAGAUCAGCCCGACUCUGGCCAUUACAGCCAUUUGACCAGUGGAUGGAAGAGCUUUUUCUCUGUCUCUCCCUCUCUGUCUGUACCUCUGCAUCUCAAAUAAAAAAGGAAGGAAGGAAAGAAAGAGAAAAGAGGGGCCAGCGCUGUGGCGCAGUGGGUUAACACUGGCCUGAAGCACUGGCAUCCCAUGUGGGUGCUGGUUCGAGACCCGGCUGCUCCACUUCCCAUCCAGCUCUCUGCUAUGGCCUGGGAAAGCAGUAGAAGAUGGCCCAAGUCCUUGGGCCCCUGCACCCACAUGGGAGACCCGGAGGAUGCUCCUGGCUCCUGGCUUCAGAUCAGUGCAGCUCCAGCCAUCGUGGCCAAUUGGGGAGUAAACCAACUGAUGGAAGACCUCUCUCUCUCUCUCUCUCUCUCUCUCUCUCUGCCUCUCCUCUUUCUGUGUAACUAUGACUUUCAAAUAAAUAAAUAAAUCUUUAAAAAAAAGAAAGAAAAAAGAAAAGAAAAGAAAAGAAAAGAAAAGAAUCUUCAAAAAUGAAGAAAAGACUAUUUACCUAUAAGUGUGUUUAUGUUGGCACUGUGCUCUGUCAAGGGCCAGACGGAAGUCAGAGAAGUGAGGAGCAUGAGGAGAGGCCCUGUGGAACCAGAACCAUCUGAAGAGGGGCAGAGUCCCACAUCCCCAUUCACACUCUGCCCUGCUCAUGUGUUCACUGGGGCAAAUGUUGAGUAAAAUCUUCCACCCUACUCAAAGUCUUCUUCAUUUCAAGCUGAUGCAACAUAUAUGGUUGAAUUUUAUGAGCAAGAUACACAUAUGAUGUGGCUCCACUUAUCAUGUUUUGAAUUUGAUAUUUAUAACUACAGCCAGAAUCCUUCAAGAAGCUACUCUCCAAUCAGACUUGUAAACUGCCUCCCCACCAAAUGAAUCACAGAGAAUAAAAAUUAUGACAUGAACUUUGUUAAAUGUUUACAAAAGAAAAAUGUGGACUAAAAUGGUGAGACUGACAAGGGUAUUAAGGUCUUAGAGAAACAGAUCUCUAGCAGUAAUAAGAUCUUAACUAAUAACUUCUCUUUGCUUAUGGUUAACACUUAUGUUUUCUCAAGUACUUUCAUACAUUCAUUUAUCUUCUCUGCCUUCCUGAGAAGUAACAGCCAAGACCAAGUUUAGGGAAAAAGGAAACUCAAAGGAUGGAUACAAAAAGUAUCCCAAAGCCUCACUGGCCAAGAGGCCUUAGAGCCUACUGAAGGGUCAAGGUUCCUCUCACCUCGUCGUGUUCCUCCCCUUUCCAUCACAGGAGAGAAUUUCUGCAAAGUUCCCUUAGCUGCUUGGCCAAAUCUGCCAAAAGAGGAUCACAGUUGCCUUCACCUUCACCUUCAUCUUCAUCUACUGAAAUUUCACCAAUCAGAGAAGACUAAGCUCAUAUCACAGGAAGAAAGAUCGAAGUCUGUCAACACAUUUGGGCUGACUUUGGUCAAACACCAUUGUCUAUUCUUCUGGGCCAACUCAUUUGCUCUAAAAAUGAUUCUCAAUAUUCCUCAAUAUUGCCUACAUCUUCAUUUCCCUCUCCCUUAUGAAGAAGAUAUUUAAGCUUCAUUUUCUGACCUUUUCUUUUCGUCUUGGACUUUGGGUAUAACUUCCCUGUUUCUGUAUGUUUUGUAUUCAUAUGUUCAUUUUCCUCUGUCUAUUGUCAGUUUUAUUUCAAGGACCAAAAUCAAACCUUCACAGGGAAAUUUUUAACUUCCUUACAAAUCUAAAAAGAUGUACUAGUAUCCAGUAGAAAAGUUUAAAUGUACGAAAACUUGUCCUAGAAAGCAGCUUAGACAGAGCAAGGCAUAUUCAGUUCAGGAUUGAUGAAUAAAUAAGUAAUAGAAGAAAAAACUAGUAAGGUACUUAAAGAAACAGAAAACACACCCAGAAAAGAAUUCAUAGCCAACAGAGUUUCACUGUAAGAAAUAUUCAAGGACAUUUCUUCAGGCUAAAGGAAAAUGAUAAAGGUGAAAACACAAGAAGCAAAGAUGUUUUGGAAAAGGUAAGUAUGCAGAUAAGUACAAAGGGAUAUUUACUGUCUGAUGCAAUAGCAAUGGCCCUGUCUUGUGGGGCUGAUAACAUAUAGAAGUGUACGACAAAAAUAGUGGAAUGACAGGGAUGGAGUAGAGUGCAAAGAAAGUACACAGUUCCAAAUGUUUUGCAUUGUUGGAAAAGUAGCAAAGAUAGACCAUAAAUAAAUCAAAAAAAAUUUAAAGCCUGUCUUAAGUCUGAGCUACUCAGCUUCAAACCCAGCUUUCUGCUAAGGCACACCCCGGAAGACAGCAGAUGAUACCUUGAGUCCUUUGUCCCUUCUAGCCACGUGGGAGGUCUAGGUUGAGUUCCAGCUCCUAGCUUUGGUCUGGCCUCAUCCUGGUUGUUGCAGGCAUGUGGAGAGUGAACCAGUGGAUGAAAGAAUUCCUUUCCUCUUUCCCUCUACUCUUCUUUCAAAUAAAAUUAAAUAAAUAAUUUGUAACUGUGGUGGAAUGAGAAGGCCAUGCCAAGAUUGCCGAUGGCAAGCGAGGAUCAGUUACUCAGGAAUGGCUUUGAAACCCACCUGGCAAUGGAGCCUGCCUGGCAACAGGCUGUGAUUGGUUAGGGCCCUUGAUCGGAUUGGCUGUCUCAGCUAUAUAAGCUGCUGUACUUACUGAAAUAAAUGAGUCUGUGAGCUGCUCUCCAGCCUGCUUUCACCCACUUCCCAGUGUCUCUGUCGUGACUCCGCACCUUUUGCCCCCACCGCACUCCUCCUCUCAGAACGAAUCCCCAGCAACAUGUAACAAAUAUCCAUCCUAAAAUGUUAGCAUAUGUUUUAUAAUUUUUUGAUAAUCACUGAAGCAGUGAUAUUAAAAAGUAUAACAGGAGCUGGCAUUAUGGAGCAGAGUUAAGCCACUGCCUAGGAUGCCUGCAUUCCAUAUUGGAGUGCUGGUUUGGGUUCCACUGUUCUACUUCCUACAGCUUCCUGCUAAUUCACCUGGAAAAACAGCAGAUCCUGGCACAUGUACUUGCAUGCCUACCACCCUUGUGGAAGACCCGGAUGGAGUUCCUGGU